CCAGUGUCUUUUGUUCUAAUGAGGCAACUCUGGGUGGGCUCUUGAGCCUUCCUGGAUGGGGGCUGGCCACCAGGAAGGCCAAGUCAGGAUGAGAAGCUUGGACAUUUCUGCCCCACCCCAUCAUUCCCUAGAAAGCGCAGAGAGGCUGGAAACGGGGUUGACAAUUGAUCCUGCCUGCCUGAGGCAGCCACCACAAAACCCCAAUAGUGUGGGGCAUGGGGAGCUUCCAGGUUGGUGAGCACUGGGAGGGUGAACGUGGAGACAGAGACUCCUGCCCUCCCAGACCUCACCUGUGUGUCUCUUCAUCCGGCUGCUCAUCUGUGUCCUUUAUCAUACCCUUUAAUAAAAGAGGCCAACAUGGAUCUUCCCUUCGACACCAGCUGAGUCCGGAGGCUUCAGGCCUUGGGAGACCAUGGAAGGGGACAGCCGCCGGUUUCCCCACUUACAAAACGAGAGGGUUGGACAAACUGCCCCGAGGCCCUUUCCUGGUUCCGUGACCGUCUCUGGAAUCACACAGAGUGGAAUUACAGCUGUGCCACCACGGAGAUGCACGUUGCUUCUUUAAAAAUAGUGUGUAUUUUGUGUUUUUUCAUAAGGCUUCACAUUCUUAAUUCUUAAAAAGAAGUGUCACAUUAAUUAAAGAAAGACAGGAGUAGACCCACUGAUAAAGCAACAAUUCUCUGUAGAGUGGCUCUUCCCCUCCUGCGUCUACUUAAAGUGGAGCAGGUUUUCCAAGACCACUUGAGAAUGGCUGGAGAUCCCAAGUCUGGUCCAGGAUGAGGCAGCCUCUCUACAGGAGGCUUGUCAGGUUCCCAAGAUGGCAGACAGCAGGCUCAGGUGACUCUGCCACUCCCUAGACCCUAAAGUGUAGGCACCCCCUAGGACCUCCGGCACCUGCCCUUCGUCCCUGCAGGUAUGCAGCCCUCACCUGAGACCUCUGGGUUCCGGGUCGGCACUGGUGCUGAGCAGCCUUCCACCAAGCCCAGCCUGCCUUGCCGCCCCCUGUGUUGUCCCUGUGACCUGGCAAAUGUGAGCGUCAGUGUGGGGGGGUGUGUGCGUACGGGGCUGCAGGCUGGGUGCUGGGCAGGAAGACCGACUGAUGUAACAAUAGCCACUUAGCUUAAGUGUCUUGGGUAAGUGUUUUGGCAAAACAGCUUCCUCUUGGUAUGGCAACAACGGGGGUGGAUGAUGCCCAGCCAGGCAGGGAGGAUGCUGGACUGGGGUAUGAGGGAAGUUAGCACAGGGAACCCCGGGCUUUGUCAGCCAAGUGGAGGCCUUGAUAAAGCCAGGUGGAGUCUGUGGUAGGGUAGCAGUACCCAGGACUGCCCACGGGGCUCCCAUUCAUAGCAACCCUGAACUGUGUCAACACCCCACCAUUGGCAGAGAGGGGACAUAAGGAGAAACUGAGGAACCAAGUUCCUGGGAAACCAAACAUUGUUUGCUUGGCAAUAGGGAGUACUCAAUACUCCUUGAACUAUUUGAUUAAUGAGUGAAUGAAUGAAUAGGAAGGUGUUUUCAUUCUGGCCUAGUAGUGAUCCCCAGCUUUUUCACAUGUUUAAGAGGCAUCAUAAACUAGAAGGAACUUGAGCUCCCAAUCAUGCUGGCAAUUUUCAAGUUCUUUGUAGCAGCAGCCUCUUUCAUUCAGAUGAAAUCUUAUCUGGAACCCAUUGUAUCAAACUGAAAAGUUAAUCUGCUCUGUUUAAAGUGGGAUAAAGGACUUUUUACUUACUAAGCUGGAUUCCAAGGCGUCUCCAUGGAACUUCGAAUGCUCAGUAGAAACUUGUCUGAAAAUAGCUGGUUGUUUUUUAAAAUUUAUUUUAAAUUUUUUAUUUUGUAAUGGGGUAUACCAGCCCGGUAACAAACAACAUUGUGAUAGUUUCGGGUGAACAGGGAAGGGACUCAGCCAUACAUAUACCUGUAUCCAUUCUCCCCCAAACUGCCAUCCUAUCCAGGCUGCCACAUAACACUGAGCAGAGUUCUCUGUGCUAGACAGUAGGUCCUUAUUGGUUAUCCAUUUUAAAUAUGGCAGUGUGUACAUGUCCAUCCCCAGCUCCCUGACUAUCCCUUCCUGCCUUCCUCCCGCCCCACACGCCCCAGCAACCGUAAGCUCAGUCUCAGAGUCUGUGAGUCUGUCUCUGGAAAACAGCUGAUUGUUCUAUCCCUUCAUUGUGUAAAGUUGCCAGCUCCAGAAAGGAAUGCCGUUAUCCCUCAGGUCACAGAGCUGGUUCAGAGCAGAAGCAAGACUCCCUGGUGCCUUCAGUGCAUGGGGCGAGGGGCGCCUCACAGCUCCGGC
Capra hircus (goat) is the source of this 2293-nucleotide long non-coding RNA. NCBI's taxonomy places the organism in Eukaryota, Metazoa, Chordata, Mammalia, Artiodactyla, Bovidae. The record is from Ensembl.